Molecule: ribosomal RNA, 331 nt
Filed under: uncultured Anoxybacillus sp.
Lineage: Bacteria; Bacillati; Bacillota; Bacilli; Caryophanales; Anoxybacillaceae
Description: bacterial SSU rRNA
Rfam family: Bacterial small subunit ribosomal RNA
Source: RNAcentral
CUGUCGUCAGCUCGUGUCGUGAGAUGUUGGGUUAAGUCCCGCAACGAGCGCAACCCUUUGUCUUUAAUUGCCAUCAUUCAGUUGGGCACUUUUAAAGAGACUGCCGGCUAAAAGUCGGAGAAGUGGGGAUGACGUCAAAUCAUCAUGCCCCUUAUGACCUGGGCUACACACGUGCUACAAUGGGCGGUACAAGGGUCGCGAACCCGCGAGGGGGAGCCAAUCCCAAAAAGCCGCUCUCAGUUCGGAUUGCAGGCUGCAACUCGCCUGCAUGAAGCCGGAAUCGCUAGUAAUCGCGGAUCAGCACGCCGCAGUGAAUACGUUCCCGGGCCUU